Molecule: ribosomal RNA, 445 nt
Filed under: uncultured bacterium
Lineage: Bacteria
Description: partial 16S ribosomal RNA
Rfam family: Bacterial small subunit ribosomal RNA
Source: RNAcentral
GUGAGGAAUAUUGGACAAUGGGCGCAAGCCUGAUCCAGCCAUGCCGCGUGCAGGAAGACGCAUCUAUGGUGUGUAAACUGCUUUUGUACGGGAAGAAACACUCCCUCGUGAGGGAGCUAGACGGUACCGUAAGAAUAAGGAUCGGCUAACUCCGUGCCAGCAGCCGCGGUAAUACGGAGGAUCCAAGCGUUAUCCGGAAGCAUUGGGUUUAAAGGGUCCGUAGGCGGUUUAAUAAGUCAGUGGUGAAAGCCCAUCGCUCAACGAUGGAACGGCCAUUGAUACUGUUAGACUUGAAUUACAAGGAAGUAACUAGAAUAUGUAGUGUAGCGGUGAAAUGCUUAGAUAUUACAUGGAAUACCAAUUGCGAAGGCAGGUUACUACUUGUGGAUUGACGCUGAUGGACGAAAGCGUGGGGAGCGAACAGGAUUAGAAACCCUAGUAGUCC